GACGAACGCUGGCGGCGUGCUUAACACAUGCAAGUCGAACGGAAAGGCCCUGCUUGCAGGGUGCUCGAGUGGCGAACGGGUGAGUAACACGUGGGUGAUCUGCCCCUUACUUUGGGAUAAGCCUGGGAAACUGGGUCUAAUACUGGAUAGGACCAUGCUGUAGGUGGUGUGGUGAAAAGAUUAGUUUCGGUAAGGGAUGAGCUCGCGGCCUAUCAGCUUGUUGGUGGGGUAAUGGCCUACCAAGGCGUCGACGGGUAGCCGGCCUGAGAGGGUGGACGGCCACAUUGGGACUGAGAUACGGCCCAGACUCCUACGGGAGGCAGCAGUGGGGAAUAUUGCACAAUGGGCGCAAGCCUGAUGCAGCGACGCCGCGUGGGGGAUGACGGCCUUCGGGUUGUAAACUCCUUUCAGCCAUGACGAAGCCCUUGUGGUGACGGUAGUGGUAGAAGAAGCACCGGCUAACUACGUG
RNAcentral lists this ribosomal RNA (469 nucleotides) under uncultured bacterium. RNAcentral describes it as "partial 16S ribosomal RNA". It matches the Rfam family "Bacterial small subunit ribosomal RNA", at positions 28 to 507 of the family's 1533-position model. The record is from RNAcentral.